GACGAGCGCUGGCGGCGUGCUUAACACAUGCAAGUCGAACGGUGAAGCGCCUUCCUUUUUGGUGGGUGUGGAUGAGUGGCGAACGGGUGAGUAACACGUGAGUAACCUGCCCCCUUCUUCUGGAUAACCGCAUGAAAGUGUGGCUAAUACGGGAUAUUCUGGGUCUGUCGCAUGAUGGGUCUGGGAAAGAUAUUGUUUCGGUGGGGGAUGGGCUCGCGGCCUAUCAGCUUGUUGGUGGGGUGAUGGCCUACCAAGGCGGUGACGGGUAGCCGGCCUGAGAGGGUGGACGGUCACACUGGGACUGAGACACGGCCCAGACUCCUACGGGAGGCAGCAGUGGGGAAUAUUGCACAAUGGGCGCAAGCCUGAUGCAGCGACGCCGCGUGAGGGAUGGAGGCCUGCGGGUUGUGAACCUCUUUCGCCAGUGAAGCAGGCCUGCCUCGUUUGUGGGUGGGUUGACGGUAGCUGGAUAAGAAGCGCCGGCUAACUACGUG
Molecule: ribosomal RNA, 494 nt
Filed under: uncultured bacterium
Lineage: Bacteria
Description: partial 16S ribosomal RNA
Rfam family: Bacterial small subunit ribosomal RNA
Source: RNAcentral